Non-coding RNA from Potamilus streckersoni, 75 nucleotides. The record is from the annotation of a GenBank genome assembly. Lineage: Eukaryota; Metazoa; Mollusca; Bivalvia; Unionida; Unionidae.
GCUUCGAUGUGGCCUAGUGGUUAGAGCAUCUGCCUCGGAUGUGGAAGGUCGUUGGUUCGAUCCUUUGUCGAGUCA